RNAcentral lists this long non-coding RNA (303 nucleotides) under Mytilus galloprovincialis (Mediterranean mussel). Lineage: Eukaryota; Metazoa; Mollusca; Bivalvia; Mytilida; Mytilidae. The record is from RNAcentral.
AAUAAUGGACAAAAAAACCAGAAUAAAGGACAGAUUAAAUAGAAAAUUAAGGGGUGUUUAAAAUAAGCACAACAAAAUGACAUAAUAUAGAAUAACGGGCAAAAGUAACAGAUUAAAGGGCAAAACAAAACAAAAAGAAAAGAACAAAAUAAGCAUAGCAACAAAUAUAGAAUAAUGGACAAAAGCCUUUUAGAUACAGAAUAAAGGACAAAAAAAAUUUGAGAAUAAAAAAUUAAGUAAAACAAAACUUUAUGGAUAGACAAAAUUUGCAAAAUAAAACAAGAACAGAGAAAAAAAUGUGAG